RNAcentral lists this ribosomal RNA (667 nucleotides) under Lactobacillus gallinarum. RNAcentral's name for it is "bacterial SSU rRNA". It matches the Rfam family "Bacterial small subunit ribosomal RNA", at positions 57 to 693 of the family's 1533-position model. Lineage: Bacteria; Bacillati; Bacillota; Bacilli; Lactobacillales; Lactobacillaceae. The record is from RNAcentral.
GCAGUCGAGCGAGCGGAACAACAGAUUUACUUCGGUAAUGACGUUGGGAAAGCGAGCGGCGGAUGGGUGAGUAACACGUGGGGAACCUGCCCCUAAGUCUGGGAUACCAUUUGGAAACAGGUGCUAAUACCGGAUAAUAAAGCAGAUCGCAUGAUCAGCUUUUGAAAGGCGGCGUAAGCUGUCGCUAAGGGAUGGCCCCGCGGUGCAUUAGCUAGUUGGUAAGGUAACGGCUUACCAAGGCGACGAUGCAUAGCCGAGUUGAGAGACUGAUCGGCCACAUUGGGACUGAGACACGGCCCAAACUCCUACGGGAGGCAGCAGUAGGGAAUCUUCCACAAUGGACGCAAGUCUGAUGGAGCAACGCCGCGUGAGUGAAGAAGGUUUUCGGAUCGUAAAGCUCUGUUGUUGGUGAAGAAGGAUAGAGGUAGUAACUGGCCUUUAUUUGACGGUAAUCAACCAGAAAGUCACGGCUAACUACGUGCCAGCAGCCGCGGUAAUACGUAGGUGGCAAGCGUUGUCCGGAUUUAUUGGGCGUAAAGCGAGCGCAGGCGGAAAAAUAAGUCUAAUGUGAAAGCCCUCGGCUUAACCGAGGAACUGCAUCGGAAACUGUUUUUCUUGAGUGCAGAAGAGGAGAGUGGAACUCCAUGUGUAGCGGUGGAAUGCGUAG